AACCUAGCACACCUGCGGUGUGUACCUGCGGAAGGAUCAUUAUUGGAAGCUUUUAUAUUAUCAAAAGUUGUGGAGGAAGAAAAGAAAGAGAUUUCUCUCCUCUGCAUCUUUCAAACAAACAAUCACAACUAUCUGAUUGAUUUGGUUUUGGGAGGGGAUUGAUUUGAAGGGGAAAAGUGCUUGCCUGAUAAAAAAAGAGAGACAUAUCAAAGAAUACAACUUUUAGCAAUGGAUCUCAGA
This 240-nucleotide unclassified non-coding RNA is filed under the name soil metagenome. Its description in RNAcentral is "partial contains 5.8S ribosomal RNA, internal transcribed spacer 2, and large subunit ribosomal RNA". The record is from RNAcentral.